Molecule: long non-coding RNA, 337 nt
Organism: Arachis ipaensis
Lineage: Eukaryota; Viridiplantae; Streptophyta; Magnoliopsida; Fabales; Fabaceae
Source: RefSeq, a predicted model, not a curated record
ACUAUAAAAGCGUUUGACAAGGGAACAAAGGUCAUCAUAUCAUUAAAAUGGAGAAUACUUCAAGAAACUCUGCCGCUACACUCGCCCUCUUCUUCAUGGCUUUUCUUAUAAUCUCAUCUUCAGAUAUGUGCAGGAUGUGUGAUGCAAGAAACGUUGUGCGAUUACCUUGUCGUGAUGACUCAUAUUGUAGACAUGAUUUUGCAACUCGUAAAUGUAAAUGCGUGAAUACUUAUUGUCAGCAUCCACCAAAUUGUGGUUGAUUAUAUAAUCAACUCAAUGUCAUGCACUAAUUCGUACAAAAAUAAAGUUAUAAUAAUAAUAAUAAUAAUAAAUAAAU